GCCUGGGUGGCUCAGUCGGUUAAGCAUCUGACUUCUGCUCAGGUCAUGAUCUCACAGCUGGUGGGUUCAAGUCCCACAUCGGGCU
RNAcentral lists this transfer RNA (85 nucleotides) under Felis catus (domestic cat). It matches the Rfam family "tRNA". Rfam says of the family: Transfer RNA (tRNA) molecules are approximately 80 nucleotides in length. Their secondary structure includes four short double-helical elements and three loops (D, anti-codon, and T loops). RNAcentral also lists the same sequence under 6 other names. Lineage: Eukaryota; Metazoa; Chordata; Mammalia; Carnivora; Felidae. The record is from Rfam by way of RNAcentral.